GCCUUCGUGGUGUAAUGGUCAGCACACUCGGUGCGUAUUCGAGAGGUCCGAGGUUCGAGUCCCGGUGAGGUCA
Molecule: non-coding RNA, 73 nt
Organism: Stegodyphus mimosarum
Lineage: Eukaryota; Metazoa; Arthropoda; Arachnida; Araneae; Eresidae
Source: Rfam